CGUAGGGUGCAAGCGUUAAUCGGAAUUACUGGGCGUAAAGCGUGCGCAGGCGGUGAUGUAAGAUAGGUGUGAAAUCCCCGGGCUUAACCUGGGAACUGCAUUUGUGACUGCAUCGCUGGAGUGCGGCAGAGGGGGAUGGAAUUCCGCGUGUAGCAGUGAAAUGCGUAGAUAUGCGGAGGAACACCGAUGGCGAAGGCAAUCCCCUGGGCCUGCACUGACGCUCAUGCACGAAAGCGUGGGGAGCAAACAGGAUUAGAUACCCUGGUAGUCCACGCCCUAAACGAUGUCAACUGGUUGUUGGGUCUUCACUGACUCAGUAACGAAGCUAACGCGUGAAGUUGACCGCCUGGGGAGUACGGCCGCAAGGUUG
This 370-nucleotide ribosomal RNA is filed under the name uncultured organism. Its description in RNAcentral is "bacterial SSU rRNA". It matches the Rfam family "Bacterial small subunit ribosomal RNA", at positions 526 to 896 of the family's 1533-position model. The record is from RNAcentral.